Beta vulgaris subsp. vulgaris (sugar beet) is the source of this 165-nucleotide non-coding RNA. The record is from Rfam. NCBI's taxonomy places the organism in Eukaryota, Viridiplantae, Streptophyta, Magnoliopsida, Caryophyllales, Amaranthaceae.
UUAAUUUGACUCAGCACGACAAAACUUAGGUCCAGAUAUAGAAAUAAUUGACAGACUAAUAGCUCUUUCCUCAUUCUAUGGGUGGUGGUGCAUGGUCGUUCUUAUCGGUUUCCAAAAUUAAGGACGCAUCGUAAACAAUUAUUUUUUUCUUAAAGUACUUUAGUU